This 545-nucleotide ribosomal RNA is filed under the name Cherax boesemani. Its description in RNAcentral is "partial 16S ribosomal RNA". It matches the Rfam family "Bacterial large subunit ribosomal RNA", at positions 1825 to 2633 of the family's 2925-position model. The record is from RNAcentral. Lineage: Eukaryota; Metazoa; Arthropoda; Malacostraca; Decapoda; Parastacidae.
GUCUAUAUGAGAGUUAUAUAAAGUCUGGCCUGCCCACUGGGGACUAAAGGGCCGCGGUAUUAUGACCGUGCGAAGGUAGCAUAAUCAUUAGUCUUUUAAUUGAGGGCUGGAAUGAAUGGUUGGACGAGAAGUAAGCUGUCUUUAUUUCAUGGAUUGAAUUUAACUUUUAAGUGAAAAGGCUUAAAUGGGUUAGAGGGACGAUAAGACCCUAUAAAGUUUAUACAUGGAGUUAGUUAAGAGUGAUUUAGGAUAGUAAAGUUUGUUAUUAGCAAGAUGUUUGGUUGGGGCGACUAGAAUAUAAGUUAUAUAACUGUUUUUUAUUUAAGUCAGAGGUAUUUGUUUAUAGUGAUCCCUUUUUAGGAUUAAAGAGUAAAUUACUUUAGGGAUAACAGCGUAAUUUUUUUUGAGAGUUCGUAUCGACAAAAGAGUUUGCGACCUCGAUGUUGAAUUAAAAAUUUCUCUGUGGUGUAGUGGUUGCAGGAGAAGGUCUGUUCGACCUUUAAAUUUUUACAUGAUUUGAGUUCAGACCGGCGUGAGCCAGGUGG